UGGGGAAUAUUGCACAAUGGGCGCAAGCCUGAUGCAGCCAUGCCGCGUGUAUGAAGAAGGCCUUCGGGUUGUAAAGUACUUUCAGCGGGGAGGAAGGCGAUAAGGUUAAUAACCUUGUCGAUUGACGUUACCCGCAGAAGAAGCACCGGCUAACUCCGUGCCAGCAGCCGCGGUAAUACGGAGGGUGCAAGCGUUAAUCGGAAUUACUGGGCGUAAAGCGCACGCAGGCGGUCUGUCAAGUCGGAUGUGAAAUCCCCGGGCCCAACCUGGGAACUGCAUUCGAAACUGGCAGGCUAGAGUCUUGUAGAGGGGGGUAGAAUUCCAGGUGUAGCGGUGAAAUGCGUAGAGAUCUGGAGGAAUACCGGUGGCGAAGGCGGCCCCCUGGACAAAGACUGACGCUCAGGUGCGAAAGCGUGGGGAGCAAACA
Molecule: ribosomal RNA, 427 nt
Filed under: uncultured bacterium
Lineage: Bacteria
Description: partial 16S ribosomal RNA
Rfam family: Bacterial small subunit ribosomal RNA
Source: RNAcentral